GCCUUCCUGUGGCUUAGUUGGUAGAGCACUGCGCUUACAAUGCAAAGGUCUUGGGUUUGAAUCCCAGGGAAAGCA
Non-coding RNA from Danionella cerebrum, 75 nucleotides. Lineage: Eukaryota; Metazoa; Chordata; Actinopteri; Cypriniformes; Danionidae. The record is from the annotation of a GenBank genome assembly.